AUUGAACGCUGGCGGCAGGCCUAACACAUGCAAGUCGAGCGGAUGAAGGGAGCUUGCUCCUGGAUUCAGCGGCGGACGGGUGAGUAAUGCCUAGGAAUCUGCCUGGGAGUGGGGGAUAACGUUCGGAAACGGGCGCUAAUACCGCAUACGUCCUGAGGGAGAAAGUGGGGGAUCUUCGGACCUCACGCUAUCAGAUGAGCCUAGGUCGGAUUAGCUAGUUGGUGGGGUAAAGGCCUACCAAGGCGACGAUCCGUAACUGGUCUGAGAGGAUGAUCAGUCACACUGGAACUGAGACACGGUCCAGACUACUACGGGAGGCAGCAGUGGGGAAUAUUGGACAAUGGGCGAAAGCCUGAUCCAGCCAUGCCGCGUGUGUGAAGAAGGUCUUCGGAUUGUAAAGCACUUUAAGUUGGGAGGAAGGGCAGUAAGUUAAUACCUUGCUGUUUUGACGUUACCAACAGAAUAAGCACCGGCUAACUUCGUG
RNAcentral lists this ribosomal RNA (484 nucleotides) under uncultured bacterium. RNAcentral's name for it is "partial 16S ribosomal RNA". It matches the Rfam family "Bacterial small subunit ribosomal RNA", at positions 30 to 507 of the family's 1533-position model. The record is from RNAcentral.